RNAcentral lists this long non-coding RNA (526 nucleotides) under Bos taurus (domestic cattle). RNAcentral describes it as "long non-coding RNA NONBTAT000479". Lineage: Eukaryota; Metazoa; Chordata; Mammalia; Artiodactyla; Bovidae. The record is from RNAcentral.
UGUGUAUCCACUCCAAUCUUGUAUAAUUUUGGAUUUCAGCUUUUUAGGUCAGGGCUUGGCAAACUAUAGCCAUGGUCUUAAUUUAGACUAAGCUUUUGUUAGAAGCCAAAUAACCAUAAAAAGAAAUAAUGCUUUUCUGGCUGUCAUUUCAGGAGAUCUGAUGUGAAGGAAACCAGGAGGACUUUUAUUCCCAUUUAUCACUACCAGCUUUGCCCCCUUUUUCAGUGCCUGUCAAGUGAAAAUCAUUGAUCUCCCUUCUUAAAAUACUAACAUGGCCAUUGUCAGGCCUUAGUACUUUCACAUUAUUUAUCAGAUAAGUUAUAGAGAAGAUAACCCUGAGGAGGAAGCAGGGAACAAAAGUACAGGUUUUAAUAGGAGAAUAAGAGUCUAUAGAGAAAUGUAAAAGUAGGAUAAUUAACAAGGAGAUUUGGGGUUUGCUAUCACUUUAUGAUGUAGGUUUGUAAGGCACUGGUUUGAAGACAGUUUCCAUUAAGGCCUUUGUUCAGCAGUUUAGUAUGCUUACCUU